RNAcentral lists this non-coding RNA (31 nucleotides) under Mus musculus (house mouse). The record is from RNAcentral. Lineage: Eukaryota; Metazoa; Chordata; Mammalia; Rodentia; Muridae.
UACCAUUGUGAAGGGCUGAGGUACAGCCAUC